UACUGCUGUGGGGGUAGCAC
This 20-nucleotide unclassified non-coding RNA is filed under the name Mus musculus (house mouse). RNAcentral's name for it is "oocyte_clustered_small_RNA3177". The record is from RNAcentral. Lineage: Eukaryota; Metazoa; Chordata; Mammalia; Rodentia; Muridae.